Molecule: ribosomal RNA, 497 nt
Filed under: uncultured bacterium
Lineage: Bacteria
Description: partial 16S ribosomal RNA
Rfam family: Bacterial small subunit ribosomal RNA
Source: RNAcentral
GAUGAACGCUGGCGGCGUGCCUAAUACAUGCAAGUCGAGCGAACAGACGAGGAGCUUGCUCCUCUGACGUUAGCGGCGGACGGGUGAGUAACACGUGGAUAACCUACCUAUAAGACUGGGAUAACUUCGGGAAACCGGAGCUAAUACCGGAUAAUAUAUUGAACCGCAUGGUUCAAUAGUGAAAGACGGUUUUGCUGUCACUUAUAGAUGGAUCCGCGCCGCAUUAGCUAGUUGGUAAGGUAACGGCUUACCAAGGCAACGAUGCGUAGCCGACCUGAGAGGGUGACCGGCCACACUGGAACUGGAACACGGUCCAGACUCCAACGGGAGGCAGCAGUAGGGAAUCUUCCGAAAUGGGCGAAAGCCUGACGGAGCAACGCCGCGUGAGUGAUGAAGGUCUUCGGAUCGUAAAACUCUUUUAUUAGGGAAGAACAAAUGUGUAAGUAACUAUGCACGUCUUGACGGUACCUAAUCAAAAAGCCACGGCUAACUACGUG